UACGUAGGUGGCAAGCGUUGUCCGGAAUUACUGGGCGUAAAGGGCGCGUAGGCGGCCAUCUAAGUCAGACGUGAAAUCCCCCGGCUUAACCUGGGAACUGCGUCUGAUACUGGACGGCUCGAGUUUGGGAGAGGGAUGCAGAAUUCCAGGUGUAGCGGUGAAAUGCGUAGAUAUCUGGAGGAAUACCGGUGGCGAAGGCGGCAUCCUGGACCAACACUGACGCUGAGGCGCGAAAGCUAGGGGAGCAAACGGG
Molecule: ribosomal RNA, 253 nt
Filed under: uncultured bacterium
Lineage: Bacteria
Description: partial 16S ribosomal RNA
Rfam family: Bacterial small subunit ribosomal RNA
Source: RNAcentral